Pelobates cultripes (western spadefoot toad) is the source of this 406-nucleotide non-coding RNA. Lineage: Eukaryota; Metazoa; Chordata; Amphibia; Anura; Pelobatidae. The record is from the annotation of a GenBank genome assembly.
CUUUGUUUCUGUACAGGGCACCUAAUUUUGGAUAAAGUUUAGAUGCAAGCUUUUCUAUGUGCAGGCCAAAAGAUAGAUUGGGGUCUAAUAUCAUACCCAAGUAUUUGAAAGAGUGGACUGCGGUCAGUGUGCCAUUUGAAUUUGUUUUGAUGGAUAGGUGGGGAUUGUGUAAUUUGUGCAAUUUAGGUACCGUUCCAAAGAUCAUUGUGACAGUUUUGUCAGUGUUCAGGAAGAGUUUGUUUUUUGCGAUCCACUUUUCUACCUCUGUAAACUGGUCUUGGAGCAAAGCCUCAAGUUGCGGUAGAUUGGGUUUGCUCGCAUAGAUUACCGUGUCAUCUGCGUACAUGUGUACAUUUGAGGAUUGGCAGACAUAAGGCAGAUCAUUUAUAAAUAAUGUAAAUAGUAG